Molecule: long non-coding RNA, 155 nt
Filed under: Numida meleagris (helmeted guineafowl)
Lineage: Eukaryota; Metazoa; Chordata; Aves; Galliformes; Numididae
Description: lncRNA (ENSNMEG00000016524.1)
Source: RNAcentral
AGUUUUUGUAGCCUGGAGGGGAAGGAGAAGAGGAGAAGAAAGUCACCCAUAGAUUGUGUGCCUGUGGAAAAGAGGAGAUCUACUACUUCUUGAGGUUUGAUGUCCAAACUGGGUGCAGUCAUACAAGCAUCUCAUCAGGUGAAUAACUAAUUCCC